AGUGAGUGGCGAACGGGUGAGUAACACGUGGAUAACCUACCUCAAGGUUGGGGAUAACAUUUGGAAACAGAUGCUAAUACCGAAUAAAACUUCGUAUCGCAUGAUACAAGGUUAAAAGGCGCUACGGCGUCACCUAGAGAUGGACCCGCGGUGCAUUAGUUAGUUGGUGAGGUAAAGGCUCACCAAGACCGUGAUGCAUAGCCGACCUGAGAGGGUAAUCGGCCACACUGGGACUGAGACACGGCCCAGACUCCUACGGGAGGCAGCAGUAGGGAAUCUUCCACAAUGGACGAAAGUCUGAUGGAGCAACGCCGCGUGAGUGAAGAAGGUUUUCGGAUCGUAAAACUCUGUUGUUGGAGAAGAAUGUAUCUGAUAGUAACUGAUCAGGUAGUGACGGUAUCCAACCAGAAAGCCACGGCUAACUACGUGCCAGCAGCCGCGGUAAUACGUAGGUGGCAAGCGUUGUCCGGAUUUAUUGGGCGUAAAGCGAGCGCAGGCGGUUUCUUAAGUCUGAUGUGAAAGCCUUCGGCUCAACCGAAGAAGUGCAUCGGAAACUGGGAAACUUGAGUGCAGAAGAGGACAGUGGAACUCCAUGUGUAGCGGUGAAAUGCGUAGAUAUAUGGAAGAACACCAGUGGCGAAGGCGGCUGUCUGGUCUGUAACUGACGCUGAGGCUCGAAAGCAUGGGUAGCAAACAGGAUUAGAUACCCUGGUAGUCCAUGCCGUAAACGAUGAGUGCUAGGUGUUGGAGGGUUUACGCCCUUCAGACCACAGCAAAACCAUUAAGCACUCCGCCUGGGGAGUACGCCCGCAAGGUUGAAACUCAAAGGAAUUGACGGGGGCCCGCACAAGCGGAGGAGCAUGUGGUUUAAUUCGAAGCAACGGGAAGAACCUUACCAGGUCUUGACAUCCUUUGACCACUCUAGAGAUAGAGCUUUCCCUUCGGGGACAAAGUGACAGGUGGUGCAUGGUUGUCGUCAGCUCGUGUCGUGAGAUGUUGGGUUAAGUCCCGCAACGAGCGCAACCCUUAUUACUAGUUGCCAGCAUUUAGUUGGGCACUCUAGUGAGACUGCCGGUGACAAACCGGAGGAAGGUGGGGACGACGUCAAAUCAUCAUGCCCCUUAUGACCUGGGCUACACACGUGCUACAAUGGAUGGUACAACGAGUUGCGAGACCGCGAGGUUUAGCUAAUCUCUUAAAACCAUUCUCAGUUCGGAUUGUAGGCUGCAACUCGCCUACAUGAAGCCGGAAUCGCUAGUAAUCGCGGAUCAGCAUGCCGCGGUGAAUAAAAUCCCGGGCCUUGCACACUCCGCCCGUCA
RNAcentral lists this ribosomal RNA (1319 nucleotides) under uncultured bacterium. Its description in RNAcentral is "bacterial SSU rRNA". It matches the Rfam family "Bacterial small subunit ribosomal RNA", at positions 90 to 1399 of the family's 1533-position model. The record is from RNAcentral.